GAUGAACGCUGGCGGCGUGCCUAAUACAUGCAAGUCGAGCGAACAGACGAGGAGCUUGCUCCUCUGACGUUAGCGGCGGACGGGUGAGUAACACGUGGAUAACCUACCUAUAAGACUGGGAUAACUUCGGGAAACCGGAGCUAAUACCGGAUAAUAUAUUGAACCGCAUGGUUCAAUAGUGAAAGACGGUUUUGCUGUCACUUAUAGAUGGAUCCGCGCCGCAUUAGCUAGUUGGUAAGGUAACGGCUUACCAAGGCAACGAUGCGUAGCCGACCUGAGAGGGUGAUCGGCCACACUGGAACUGAGACACGGUCCAGACUCCAACGGGAGGCAGCAGUAGGGAAUCUUCCGCAAUGGGCGAAAGCUUGACGGAGCAACGCCGCGUGAGUGAUGAAGGUCUUCGGAUCGUAAAACUCUGUUAUUAGGGAAGAACAAAUGUGUAAGUAACUAUGCACGUCUUGACGGUACCUAAUCAGAAAGCCACGGCUAACUACGUG
This 497-nucleotide ribosomal RNA is filed under the name uncultured bacterium. RNAcentral's name for it is "partial 16S ribosomal RNA". It matches the Rfam family "Bacterial small subunit ribosomal RNA", at positions 28 to 507 of the family's 1533-position model. The record is from RNAcentral.